This 587-nucleotide ribosomal RNA is filed under the name uncultured bacterium. Its description in RNAcentral is "bacterial SSU rRNA". It matches the Rfam family "Bacterial small subunit ribosomal RNA", at positions 963 to 1533 of the family's 1533-position model. The record is from RNAcentral.
GCAGAACCUUACCAACCCUUGACAUGUCUCGUAUGGUUUCCAGAGAUGGAUUCCUUCAGUUCGGCUGGCGAGAACACAGGUGUUGCAUGGCUGUCGUCAGCUCGUGUCGUGAGAUGUUGGGUUAAGUCCCGCAACGAGCGCAACCCUCGCCUUUAGUUGCCAUCAUUUAGUUGGGCACUAUAGAGGGACUGCCGGUGAUAAGCCGGAGGAAGGUGGGGAUGACGUCAAGUCCUCAUGGCCCUUACGGGUUGGGCUACACACGUGCUACAAUGGCGGCGACAAUGGGCAGCGAAGGGGCGACCCGGUGCAAAUCCCAAAAAGCCGUCUCAGUUCGGAUUGUACUCUGCAACUCGAGUGCAUGAAGGUGGAAUCGCUAGUAAUCGCGUAACAGCAUGACGCGGUGAAUACGUUCCCGGGCCUUGUACACACCGCCCGUCACACCAUGGGAGUUGUUUUACCCGAAGCUGGUGCGCUAACCGCAAGGAGGCAGCCAACCACGGUAAGGUCAGCGACUGGGGUGAAGUCGUAACAAGGUAGCCCUAGGGGAACCUGGGGCUGGAUCACCUCCUUAAGCUUGGAUACCCGGG